CCCUUAGAUGUCCUGGGCUGCACGCGCGCUACACUGGAAGUUACGGAUUGAGAUACUACCUUGUCCGAAAUGGUCCGGGUAAUCACCUAAAAGCUUGUCAUAAUUGGAAUGGAUUAUUGUAACUAGUAAUCCUGAACGAGGAAUUCCUAGUAAGUCCCAGUCAACAGCUGGUACUGAUUACGUCCCUGCCCUUUGUACACACCGCCCGUCGCUACUACUGAUUGGACGUUUAAGCAAGAUUUUUAAACACUGACAGUGUGUAGUUCACGCUAUACUACAGUGAGUAGAAGAAGAUCGAGCUUACUUGUCUAGAGGAAGUAAAAGUCGUAACA
This 332-nucleotide ribosomal RNA is filed under the name uncultured eukaryote. Its description in RNAcentral is "partial 18S ribosomal RNA". It matches the Rfam family "Eukaryotic small subunit ribosomal RNA", at positions 1470 to 1796 of the family's 1831-position model. The record is from RNAcentral.